AACGAACGCUGGCGGCAUGCCUAACACAUGCAAGUCGAACGAGACCUUCGGGUCUAGUUGCGCUCGCGUGUGUAGCGCGUGGGACCCUUCCCUUAGGUUCGGAAUACCUCCCCGUAGGGGGUGCUAAUACCGGAUAAUGUAUUCUAACCCAGGAUUUAUCGCCCUUGGAUGGGCCCGCGUUGUAUUAACUUGUUGCUAGGGUAAAAGCCUACGAAGGCGACGCUCCAUAGCUGGUCUGAGAGGCUGAUCAGCCACACUGGGACUGAGACACGGCCCAGUCUUCUACGGGAGGCAGCAGUGGGGAAUAUUGGACCCGGGGCGAAGGCCAGAGCCAGCGAUGCGGAGUGAGUGAUGAAGGCCAAAGGGUUGUAGAGCUCUUUUACCCGGGAUGAUAGUGACUGUACAGAGAGAAUAAGCUGCGGCUAACUCCG
RNAcentral lists this ribosomal RNA (431 nucleotides) under uncultured bacterium. RNAcentral's name for it is "partial 16S ribosomal RNA". It matches the Rfam family "Bacterial small subunit ribosomal RNA", at positions 29 to 505 of the family's 1533-position model. The record is from RNAcentral.